This 669-nucleotide long non-coding RNA is filed under the name Hordeum vulgare. Its description in RNAcentral is "long non-coding RNA (HVUL_LNC019246)". Lineage: Eukaryota; Viridiplantae; Streptophyta; Magnoliopsida; Poales; Poaceae. The record is from RNAcentral.
UCUCAUUUGCGGCGUGCUGUAGUCCUAUCCUAUAUAUGUUUGAUUUUGCUAAAGCACAUCUAGACGUGAGUAUUGGUUAAUCUGCGUCUCAAAUCAAGUGGAAGAUUCUGAUAUUCUCUCAUUUGCGGCGUGCUGUAGUCCUAUCCUNNNNNNNNNNACUGUACCACACUAAUGUAUCGGAGCUGUUGUAGGUAGAAGAGUAGGAUGUGCUCGCCCUAGCUUCAAUGAAGGCCAAGAUAACUGGUGACGUGGAGAUUAAACGGAUUCUUUUGGGACCUGCCAUUGCGAAGAAACGAAUAUGUGUAGCAUCUCAUGCUAACAUUCUGUUCUUAAAUAUAAGAUUUUUUAUGAUUUCACUAAGACUACAUAAGAUCUUUUUAAAGAUUUUACUACGGACUUGGUAUGUAGUCUGACUUGCAUUUAUGACUUUGAAGAUUUUUUUAAAGAUUUCACUAUGGACUUCUAAAGUCUGUAGAAAUCUUUAAAAAGACUAUUUAUGUCUUUGAAGAUCUUUUUAAAGAUUUCGCUACGGUCUUCUUCUGUAGAAAUCUUUAAAAAGACUUACAUUUAUGAUUUUAAAGAUUGGAAAUGUUAUAAAUUGUUUAGAAAUGGAAGCGAGAGACAAGACAAAAUAUGUAAAGUGAAUCAUUGUCUUUAUUAAUGAUUGAG